RNAcentral lists this ribosomal RNA (654 nucleotides) under uncultured archaeon. Its description in RNAcentral is "bacterial SSU rRNA". It matches the Rfam family "Archaeal small subunit ribosomal RNA", at positions 508 to 1160 of the family's 1478-position model. The record is from RNAcentral.
GCCUAAAGCGUCCGUAGCCGGCUCUGUAAGUUUUCGGUUAAAUCUAUAUGCUCAACAUAUAGGCUGCCGGGAAUACUGCAAAGCUAGGGAGUGGGAGAGGUAGACGGUACUCCGUAGGAAGGGGUAAAAUCCUUUGAUCUAUGGAUGACCACCUGUGGCGAAGGCGGUCUACCAGAACACGUCUGACGGUGAGGGAUGAAAGCUGGGGGAGCAAACCGGAUUAGAUACCCGGGUAGUCCCAGCUGUAAACUAUGCAAACUCAGUGAUGCAUUGGCUUGUGGCCAGUGCAGUGCCGCAGAGAAGUCGUUAAGUUUGCCGCCUGGGAAGUACGUACGCAAGUAUGAAACUUAAAGGAAUUGGCGGGGGAGCACCACAAGGGGUGAAGCCUGCGGUUCAAUUGGAGUCAACGCCAGAAAUCUUACCCGGAGAGACAGCAGAAUGAAGGUCAAGUUGAAGCCUUUACCAGACAAGCUGAGAAGUGGUGCAUGGCCGUCGCCAGCUCGUGCCGUGAGGUGUCCUGUUAAGUCAGGUAACGAGCGAGAUCCUUGCCUCUAGUUGCUACCAUUACUCUCAGGAGUAGUGGGGCGAAUUAGCGGGACUGCCGUAGUUAAUACGGAGGAAGGAGAGGGCCACGGCAGGUCAGUAUGCCCCGAA